CCCCAACACAACUAAAUUUUCCACUGUAAAUGUUCUAAAUGGCUUUCAGAAAUUUUAAAAUGGAAUGAUGGAGAUUUAAAAACUAUGGAAUGAUGUUCAAGCUGCAAAAUUAAUGUUGUCAAGACAAACAAAUAAAUAAAAAAACUUUGUUCAACUUUAAACUCGGGUAAUAUCAUUGGAAGUCAAAACAUAAAAUAGCUAGUUUUCACCAGACCUUAUAGCACCAUGGUGCUAUCUGAAGAGAUUGACAAAAGAUUGCAUUAAAAAUGAAGUUCUACCUCCUAUUAAUUUCAAUCCUUACAGUGUUAUUUUAACAUACUGGGGAGAACACUGCCAAUAUCAAAUAAGAUAAUGCCACACAUCAUCUUUCCAAUUCCUAUUCAUUUACCCUUGUACGCUAGUAGAUAAAUAAUAUGAAUAAUUUAUAACGAUUUUCAUGUAUUCUUCAAUCUACAUGUUUAUAAAAUUUAUAUCCAUUUUGAACCAUCUUUUUUCAAAAAUUGUGAGACUUUCAACUAAUUUUAUAGUGAUGUAUGUCUUUGAAAAAUUAAAUUCUGGCCAUUUUGAAAUCAAAUGGUCCCUAAAACAUUCUGUGACAAGUAAUAAACCAGGUGCUCGCAGGGCGCAGCUUUAUACGACCGCAGAGGUCGAACCCUGAACAGUUGGGGCAAGUAUGGACAAAAUAUUCAAGCGUGAUACAGCUCUGAAUUUGGAUUGAUCAAAUUUUUGACAUUACAUGUUUUUUUUUACACAAAACAAAUGUCAAGAUUUUACAAAUCAAUUAAAGAUUUCUUCUUCAAACUUUUUAAAUCUAAAAUUAAAUAGUUGACACAGCAUAGGUUUCUGACACAGAAUGAAUGUGGUCUAAUGAACUUAAAAUAUUUUUUUGCCUUUGAGCAAUUCACUAUGCUGUUGAAUAUUAAUCCUCUCAAAAAAAUGUUUGAAGAAAUUUUCUUUUAUUUAUGAAAUCUGAAAUGAGAAAAAUUUAAACCCCCCCCCCCCCUUUUUUUCAC
RNAcentral lists this long non-coding RNA (1013 nucleotides) under Mytilus galloprovincialis (Mediterranean mussel). Lineage: Eukaryota; Metazoa; Mollusca; Bivalvia; Mytilida; Mytilidae. The record is from RNAcentral.